GGGGGUGCAGCUCAGCGGUAGAGCACUUGCUUGCCUAGCAAGGUCGAGGUCCUGAGUUCAAACCCCACCUCCA
This 73-nucleotide transfer RNA is filed under the name Cavia porcellus (domestic guinea pig). It matches the Rfam family "tRNA". From Rfam's summary of the family: Transfer RNA (tRNA) molecules are approximately 80 nucleotides in length. Their secondary structure includes four short double-helical elements and three loops (D, anti-codon, and T loops). The record is from Rfam by way of RNAcentral. Lineage: Eukaryota; Metazoa; Chordata; Mammalia; Rodentia; Caviidae.